RNAcentral lists this ribosomal RNA (473 nucleotides) under uncultured bacterium. RNAcentral describes it as "bacterial SSU rRNA". It matches the Rfam family "Bacterial small subunit ribosomal RNA", at positions 335 to 799 of the family's 1533-position model. The record is from RNAcentral.
ACUCCUACGGGAGGCAGCAGUGGGGAAUAUUGCACAAUGGGCGCAAGCCUGAUGCAGCCAUGCCGCGUGUGUGAAGAAGGCCUUCGGGUUGUAAAGCACUUUCAGCAGUGAGGAAGGCGGAGUCGUUAAUAGCGGCCUCGUUUGACGUUAGCUGCAGAAGAAGCACCGGCUAACUCCGUGCCAGCAGCCGCGGUAAUACGGAGGGUGCGAGCGUUAAUCGGAAUUACUGGGCGUAAAGCGCAUGCAGGUGGUUUGUUAAGUCAGAUGUGAAAGCCCGGGGCUCAACCUCGGAAUAGCAUUUGAAACUGGCAGACUAGAGUACUGUAGAGGGGGGUAGAAUUUCAGGUGUAGCGGUGAAAUGCGUAGAGAUCUGAAGGAAUACCGGUGGCGAAGGCGGCCCCCUGGACAGAUACUGACACUCAGAUGCGAAAGCGUGGGGAGCAAACAGGAUUAGAUACCCUGGUAGGCUACCG